GCAUGAGACGUUGUACGCUACCAGCUUUGGUUGAUGGAACUUGAAGAAUUGAAACUAAGUUUGAAAGAGAAAUUGGUUGGCCAUGAUUGUGGAUUAUGUUUGGUAUGUUCAUCUCAACACACCAUUUAAGACACAUGGAAUCUAUGAAGGCGUAUAUGUGUUUGUAUAAUUGAGCUUGUGCUUUGAAAAUUUCACUUGGUUUACGGCUAUUAAUUGAUGAAGCCAUUGUUUUGUGGAAGUGAGUUUUUGGUUUGUGUGUACUUGUGAUGUUUCAGAAUUUGAUUUGCUUUAUAUAAGCUUUCAACUUUCAACACCGUGUGUCAGCAAGAGUUGUAAAAGUCAUAUAAUUGGAACACAUUAUAUGACUAUUGAUUUCAUAUUAAAAAAACAGAGUAAGUCAUAUAAUUAUAACACAUUAUAUGACUAUUGACUUCAUAUUAAAAAAACAAACAAAGUCAUAUAACUUCACUAUCAAAGAGAUUUCUAAAUUUAUUUUUUUAUACUUGUAUGGAAUUGUAUAGGUUGUGCCGUUAAGGCAACUAAUUUGAUAGCUAUGUAGUGACACCAGAUGCAUGACUGUGACUUCGAACAUUAAUCUCGAUAGGGAUAGUUUGAUAUUUUGAUAGGAGUUGUGCAUGUUGUAGUGAAAGUCUGUUCAAACAUUUUGUCGAAAUAUGUUAACUUGUACUCUAAGUUAGUAUGUCAAAUUGGACCUUUGUUUAGGCCCAAUUAUUUAAGUUAGCUUGUACAUCAAGUUAGCUUAGUAGUCUAUAAAUAAGUCAGUUCUCUCAGGUUGUUGGGAGAGGUUAGUUGUUGGUAUUCACUUGUAAUCUUUAACCAUCACUACUACGAAAAAUACACAUCACGACGAUUAGAAAAGGGAUAACUCCACGUUGGACCAACCGAUGUGAGGUCAGAUGUGAUUGUAUGUAUGAUGCUUUCCACCAUGGUCGUAUGACUGUGAUUAUAAGUCCAGUAGUGCGCUACCUACCAUACCGGUUACUUUAAACAACCUUUGUUGUAUGUCUCAAAAUCACAAUAGUUACUUUAAACAAUCGUUAUUGUAUGUCUUUUAAUAAAAUAAAAUAAAAAUGCAGCAGUAGAACAACAACAACAAUAGAAAGAACAACAACAAUAACUACUACUACUACUACUACAACAAAAACAAAAAGAACAACAACAAAAAAAUAAUAAUAAUAAAAAGAAUAAGAAAAACAAGAGUAACAACAACAACAAUAAUAACAACAAGAACAACAAUAAGAACAACAACAAGAACAACAAUAAUAACAACAACAACAACAACAACAAAAACAACGAAAAAGAACAACAAGGGCAAUAUCAAGAACAACAACAACUAACAUUGCUAACUUGAAUCCAUGUUUUACUUGUCUCAUUCAAGUUGGAGAAGAUUUGAUGGAGUUCUAAAACUUGUUAAUGAAAGAAAUGAUGUUCUUGAGUUUUGUUUAUGUAAGAAAUGAUGUUUUCGAUCUUGAUUUAGUUGAGAAAUAAAGUGUCGUAAAUGGAAAAAGAUGUUUAGAGGUAAAAGAAGAAGUUCGUCUAAGUUGGAAGUUCAUCUAAAUUUUAGGUUUAACGCGGAUCAUUAAUGGUAGUGUCUUCAACAUUGAUACUUGUCAUACACCAAUCUUGUCCGACCUCUUAUAUUAUUUUCAUCAAUUUAGACUUAUAUGUUGUAUUGCAUUUCAUGUCUCAUAUGCAUUAGGUAUAAUCAUUUGGUCUUGCAUCCUUCCAAUAAUAAGUUCAUCAUUUGGGUUUUAUUUGGUCUUUGGCCAUGGUUAUCCAGAGUUAGACUUUGAGUUUUGGGGUUGUGUGUAAUGGAUUCUCAUUUCUUGGUUUGCACUUAGUCAUAUUUUGAGUUUAGUGGAAAUCCUCAUUUGAAUAGAUCCUGACUUGUGCUUAAAUUGCAAUGUUAAGCCAUGAUUUGAAUGCUCCUUAUAUCCCAAAACAUUGUUCGUCACAUUAUUAUGUAAUUAGGUUUGAACUGGUUCAACGUAUGACGUGAUUCAUGCUAGCCUUUAUUACAAGUCUUGAUGAAUCUAAUCCGAGUCCAAUGGAGCUUUGUUAUUAUGAACAAAGUUAAUGCAUACCUGAUUUGUCAUGAUCUUUGGAAAGAAAGCCUAAGUUUUUUACUCUCGUGAGCCGAGGACAUGAAGGUUUGAGUGUGCCUUUAAAGUGAAAAGUGAAAACUGUAUGGAUUUGUGGGAAUUAAUAUUCAGGCACCAAAAUUAUCCUCUUAGAAUACAGGUUACCAAGUUUCAUACAUACCAAGAAGUUUGUUUUUCAUGUCAUGGAAAUUCAAAGUUUACAAAACACUUAGAUAAUUUUGAAGCAAGGCAAUCACACACCAAAAGUUCCAAGGACAAGUUACACAAACGUUGUUAUUACAUGCCAAAGUUACAUAACACAAAGAAAGAUCUUACAAAAGGUGUAAAAUUACUAAAGUCUAGCAUGGCAUCGUUCAUAAUUCAAAAAGUGCAUUUACAAGUCAGAAUCCUACACAUUACAAUGAGACACCUCAGUUAAGGCUAUCCAUUAUGAUGAAGAAACCUUUAAUACACUAAUUUAAGUGGUUUUGAAUCUUGCUUUGACCCGUCGGAUACCACAUCAAUAAACAAUAAAUAAACUUUGAAACAUCACUGAUGGAUCUCCUUUACAAUAGUACACAAUGAUUAAUUAGAGAAGCCAGUAGUUAAAGGCCAUGAACGUACUCAUAUUCGUAUCAAUACUCAAAGACUAAAACGCUAAAUAUAAACGAUUCUCAAAUAAAUGCAUAUAAGGAGUAAAGUUUCAAAUGCAUACAAUGAGAUUUCUUUACCAGCCGUAAAUCUAAAUAAAAAGUGGGAUCACAAUUGAAAUGAAAAAGGAAAACCCGAAAGGGCAAUCCAAGCAAAAAAAUGUAUCCCGAUGGACUGAAAACCCGAAAGGGCGAUCUAGGAAAAACUUAGGGAUUAAUUCAAAGGAAAAGACUGCAAUCUAUGAAUCCAUGUUAUCCAUGGAAAUCUCCAGAAGAGAAGGAUCAAUCCAGUCGUCGUCCUCCAAAGCAAGGUGUUCGGACCCUCAGAGACAUAAAGAUUAUAGCAGUAUUUAAAACCAAUGGAGAUUCAAUUUUCAUUGCCAUUGUACUUUUUUUUGCACAACAAUUACCUCAUUAAGGAAUUGCAUGUUUAUGUACAAUUGCCCAUUCAAGGGUGAAAUCAAUGAAAAGAGAACUUUUCUCAUCAAAUUAUGCCCAAUUGUUUUUACUUUAUCUGCUUGUUGGCAAAAUGUAUUUAUUGUUGAUAAACAUUGUUUUAAAACUUUGGUUAUUAACGAAAACAUUUGAAAAGAACAAUAAAUUUUCUUUUGAGAUGUUGAACGGGAGACUCACCGUUCCAAAUAAUGCCCUCAUUGCAUAAAGAAAUAAGGUCAUUUACAGGUCGCCAUGAUCAUUACAUCACAAACAAUUCCAUUCCCUCUAGAAUAUGCUUAUAUACAACCUAUCAUAGUCAAAACUCCAGGAAAGUCAGCAGAGGCAUUCAUGAUACACCACUGAGCGUCGCAUCGCUAAAGUAUCGAGUGUUGAAAAGUCAGAUCAUCUCAAUAGCCAAAAAUCCAAAUCAUAUGUCCAACUACUAGAAAAAAACAAAGUCCAAUCUCUAUUGGUCUCCUAAAAAACAAAAAAAGUUGCAUCGUUGGCGUCAUCAUAAACUCGAAUCUAGUUAACAUUGGCAUCUGGGAAACUCUUUCCUUCAAAAGGGAGACCAACUCCAACAUACCCAAUCAAUCAUCUACCAUAUUAUGUUCAUAACAUAUAUUACAUGCAUAACUCUCCCACCUAAAAUGGGAAUGUGCAUGAGAAUAAAGAGUUAUUGUGCACCUUAUACAAGCAUAUGGUUCCUACCAAACACAAUCAUAUCAACCAUCAACAUACAUAUCCAUAGAAUUUUCACCAAAGCAUGAAGCUUCAUCAGUAAUAAAUAAAAUCAGUCGCAUUCCUACAUGCAUAUCCAAAAAUCCUCAGCAAAUGUAUACUUGCAUACAUCUCAUAUACCAUUCCAUGCAGGAUACUUCCAUCUAAAGUGGUUAUAGAGGUUGACUGAUUGUACUUGAUUGUACAUCCCUCAUGUAUCUUUUGAUGCAUAGAGGUUGAUUGAUUGUACUUGAUUGUAUAUCAAGUUAUUAUUCUAACUCAUGAGCUUUUAAGCAAAGAGUUGAUUAUUAUUCUUGGUUGAAGCUUUUAAGCAAAACCAAGUAUUGUUUAUUGGAAGUGUAAUCUUCUAUUUUAGGUUAUUGUCACUGGUUUGUGGCUUAGGAUAUCACUGUGGUGAUUGAAAGUGAGAGGGGGAUUCUCAUAUCUAGAAUGGUUCUAGGUAGAAAUUGCAUGGGUAAUGAUUAGGCGAUAAGUUGUAAACUGGGAUUGUUUAGGCUUUGAACUAAUAUUAUUAGUGGAUUUCCUUCCUGGCUUGGUAGCUCCCAGAUUUAGGUGACGUUACACCGAACUAGGUUAACAAUUUAUUGUGUCUUUUACCUUCUGCAAUUUAAUUCUGCAUAACUACUAUUUUGGUAAAAGUGUUUUUGCCAGUAGAUGAUGUCUUAACAUCUGUCUUGACAUUGUGUUGUGUGUUGGGACACCAAUCUUAACAUUUGUGUUUAAGUUCCAGAAUUUCAAUUGGUAUCAGAGCAGGCAUCUUGCUCUGUUUCAGGGUGAGAUCUGGGGAAAAUACUUUUUGGUACCAUGGAAGGAGGAUUUGUUAACAGACUACCCAUCUUAUAUGACAUUAAAUAUGACUAUUGGAAGACACGUAUGGUGGCAUUCCUAAAAUUUAUGGAGAGCAAGACUUGGAAAGAUGUCAUCAAAGGUUGAGAACAUCAUGUUGUGAAGGACAAAGAUGGGAAAGCUAUUACUGACUUGAAUCCUGAAAAAGGAUUGGUCUAAGGAAGAAGAAGACCUGGCCCUUGGAAACUCCAAAGCUUUGAAUGCUCUAUUCAACCAAGUUGGCAAAAACAUAUUCAGGUUAAUAAACACUUUUAUUGUGACCAAAGAUGCAUGAGAAAUUCUCAUAACCACCCAUGAAGGCACAUCUAAAGUGAAAAUGUUUAGACUUCAGCUUCUCACUACUAGAUUUGAGAAUCUUAAGAUAAAAGAUGAUGAGUGUAUUCAUCAUUUUCACUUGAAUGUUCUUGAAAUUUCGAAUUCAUCUAGUGCCUUGGGAGAGAAGAUAUCCGAAUAAAAGCUGGUUAGAAAUAUUCUCAGGUCUCUACCUAAGAAGUUUUACAUGAAGGUCACAACCAUUGAAGAAGCCCAAGACAUCAGCACCAUGAAAGUAGAUGAACUUGUUGGGUCACUCCAAAGUUACAUAAUACAAAGAAAGAUCUUACAAAAGGUGGAAAAUUACUAAAGUCUAUCAUGGCAUCAUUCAUAAUUCAGAAAGUGCAUUUAUAAGUCAGAAUCCUAAAUAAUAUAAUGAGAGACCUUAAUUAAGGUUAUCCAUUCUGAUGAAGAAACUUUUAAUACAUUAAUUUAGAUGGUUUUGAAUCUUGCUUUAACCCGUCGGAUACUUGGUGCAAUCCUUGGCAUCCCCAAUUUAUGCCUGCAAAAACGCCAACGGAUAUCACAUCAUUAAAAAAUAAAUAAACUUUGAAACAUCACCAAUGGAACUCUUUACAAAAUUACACAAGGAUUAAUCAGGGAAGCCAAAAGUUAAAGUCCAUGGCCGUACUCAUAUUCGUAUCAAUAAUCAAAGACUAAAAGGCUAUAUACAUACGAUUCUCUAAUAAACGCAUACAAGAAGUAAAGUUUCAAAUGCGUACAUCGAGAUUUCCUUACCAACAGUAAAUCUAAGUCAAGAGUGGGACCACAAUUGAAAUGAAAAAGGGAAAAAACGUACAAGCAAGUAGGAUUUCACACAAAAUGUACAAGCAAUUGAAAUGAAAAUUUGUUGCUUAUGAUAAUUUUACUUAUGAUAAUUUUACUUAUGAUAAUUUUGGUCUAAAAUUAGUAAUAGAAAAUAAUUCUGGAAAAUCAUCUUCCUUCAUCAUUUAUUUAUUUGGUUUUAUUUACUUAUUUAUUUUGUUUUUACACAUAAAAUAAAUUAAAACAUAUUAACAUUAAAUAAAUAAAUAAAUAUUUACUUAAUUUCCAUAGACAUUUAAAAAUCUUUGGUCCAACGCCGAGCGGACUUUCUGAAAACCUUGGUUCAACGUCAAGUGUGUCUUUCCCAAUCCAAUUAAAUCAUUCUUAAUUCAAUUUUAAAACCUUUUCCCGAUUAAAAUAUAACAUUAAACUAUUUUCUUAAUCAAAUACGAAAGAAAUGGAUCAUUGGAGUCUCGCAUUCCUUGAACCCUUGAAUGAUUGCUCUUGAGGCAUGCCUCUUGGUUUUCUUUUCGUUCACUCUUUCAUUUGUAAACACUUAAACUAAAUACUUAGACGAAAGGAGAGGCCAUUGGAGUCUAGCAUUCUGGUGGAAUCUUUGAACAAUCUUUUGAAGGUUCAUCGUCCAUCAAAUAAUUCCAUAACUAAUUGAAUGAAAAAUGUGUUAUUGGAGUCUAGCAUUCCGAAAAUAUCCCGAAUAAUUGGUUCCAAGGCUCAUGUCUUGUUCUUACCACAUAUUCGCCAUUCACCUUUAGAAAAAUACUCAACACAUCCUUCAUCAAUCAAACCUGUCCUUUCGUGCCCUGUGUGAUUGAAAGUUUUUUGUAAGUGAACAUUUAACUAAUCCUUCCUAACGCGUUCGAACUUACGCUAAAGCCUCCGCCGCGAGUAAGAAAGUCAUGUUUUACCGUUAAAAUGCGAUCUAGAUACACGUUAAAAUCAAUACACCGUUAAUUUGUCAAAAUCAUUUCAAAAAAGAGUGAUGUUUAAUCCUUUCUAAUGCAUAUACAAACUAGCUUUUAAGUCUCCACCACGAGCAUGCAAACCCACGUUUAGCCGUUAGAAUUUGAUCCAAGUAUUCACUCAUUAAAACAAAUCAACAAACAAACCGUAGUCCCCGAACUACGAAUGCUCUGAUUUUCCUAUUUGCACCAUAAUGAUACCUAGGCACGAGAUUGAUAGAUCUUGGAGAGCACACUAAUAAAAAAACCAUUUUCCCCUUUUGAGGUUUCAUUCCUUUUCUUUUUUCAAUAUUUUAUUCACUCAAAGAAAAUAAAUAACAUUAGAUAACAUUCAAAUCACAAAUUUAACUAAAAGGUUCUCGUUGAGUGCAACGGGCGUGAGGGUAUAUAGCGGUAAAUUCAUGACCAUUAAGCUAUGGAUAAACUUAACGUCAAUAAAACUAGAGUCGUCACCGCGCUUUUAUUGUUUCCAAAGGAAAAGGGAAAAGUACGAAAAAAACCCAAAGAUAAGAAGUUUUCAAAUCAAAACUAAUAAAAUGCCAGAGAUUACAGGUAAGGGGGUUGGUUACACAAAGGGAAGGUGUUAGCACCCAAAGUGUCUUAGGUACUUAUAGUGAGCCCUUUUUUAUGUGUGUAUGUGUUUUGGUAUAAAAGAUGUUUGAGAAAAAUAGAAUUUGGGGAUGAGAAAAGAAUUCAUUGAUUACAUUUUUGUGUUUGACAAGACCUUCGGACUUGUGCCUACGUACCAACAUAAAAAUGAGGGAUCAAAACCUCGUAGUUCGUGGUAACAAUUUCAAAAUGAGUUGAUUACUUUUAAUUAAAAGUUAAGUUUAAAAGAGGCACAAAAGGCCCAAAAGUUUGAAUGAGUGUUAGUUCUUUUUGUCUUUUGAAACUUUAAGUCAAUAUGGUUAAGUUCAUUUACAAAUUUGAUUAAGAAAAGAGUUUUAAAAUGCAAUGGCAUAAGGCCAAAGUUUUUAAUUUGAAAUAGGGUCUAAGUUUUGAAAUCACAAGCAAGAAGGUUUUUGAAAAGGGGGAGAGAUUUUGAAUUUUAAGAAGUGAGAGGAGAUGAAGAUACUAAUCCUAAGCAUAAAAUUAAAAGUUAAGAGUUGAAAAGAUCUGACCAAUGGGAUGUAAUCCAACAUACAAGAAUGUCAUAUAGAAAACCCAUUUUCCCUUUGGACUUUUGAAUCAAGCCAUAGUCAGUAAGCAAUUAGCAAUAUGAAGAGCAAGACAUCAAAUAAAGAUGACCACAUCCAAGCAAGCAACUUCAAAGCUAACAGUUUUCUUUAUCUUCUCAAGUAUCAAAUGACAUACUCCUUGGCUUUACUCAGAAUGAGACAUUAGACAUGAGAUCAAAGUAACAGUUGCAUCAAAACCAUAUAGCAAACGAAUUCACGUGGAUCCCAAUACUAGCAUCAGAUGGAAUCUCAAAUCACAAUAACUUGGUCUCAGAAAUGUUGGCAUUGGCCAAGUCCUUUUGCUCAUGGAAUGUUGCCUAAUUCUAAGUUCAAAAGUUCAGAUCAAACCCAACAGUCCAAACAAACAUUUUUUUAGGGUUUUUGUUGUUUAUUAAGUAUUUUAAGGUUCUAAGACCACAAACACAAACAAAAUAUACAAACAAAUACAUACAAUCACAAUAUAUGGCUCAAAUGAGCAAAGUGAAAAUGACAUAAACAUAAACAAGUUAAAUGAUAUGUAAAUGACAAAUGAAAUGGUAAAUGACUUGAAUUUAAAUUGUAUAAAGUAAAUGACUUGAAAAAUAAAAGCAAUAUUAAUACAAGUUAAUCAAAUGUUAGUUGAUUAGAUGUUAGUGAUGUUUUGUUUUCUAAUUGAUUAAGUCAUUCUUUGGAGAACACUCAACCCUCUAUUCACAAGCAUGUAUCCUUGAACUAAGUCAUCUUCCAAAGGAAGGAAAAAAGACAAAGUUUCCACAUAAUACCAUGAAAAAGGGAGACUUACAAUCUCACUUACUAGAAUGAUAUACCUUUAGGGUCAAAUUUAGCUCUAUGUUAAGCAAUCAUAAUUGGACUUAUGUAGAAGUCACAACUAUCUAAGGCUGGACAAUAAAAAUUUAAGUGCGAAUGCAUGUUAGAGAUUUGGAAUGAUGAACCAAACUCCUAAAACAUACCACACACUAAAAGAAAAGAUCAAAAGGAUGGACCUAUCUCAUCCAUACUUGUAUUGGUUCAUCUAACACAAGGUUAUUGAUGAACCAAUUACCUUAUAAUUGAGAAUUCAUUGGUCAUUAAAGGAUGGGAGAGAAUGAGAUUGAAGAUGAAGAGGAGGAGAUGAGAGAAACACAAAUUAGUCAUGGGAGGAAUUUUAUCAAAUUAAAAUCAUUCAUUCAUUUUGGGAGAUGAAAUGUACAUUUCAUCAAUCCCCUAAAUCCAAUGAUUUUAACUCAACAAAAGUCAAAUCAACCUUGACCAAGGCCCAAACACAUAGUCAAACAUCACAAGUCAAUAAAAAUUGCUCAACAUAAUUUCUAUACAAUUAAUCAAUUAAAAAUCAAAUUAAAAAUGCAUUUAAAUUAAAUUUAGUUUGGUAAAAACCUAAAAUCUCUUCAAAACACCAAAUAAAUAGUCAAGAGAUUUAUCCUAGGUCAAACAAGGUCAAAGGACCUUAGAAAAAAAAUUCAUAAUUUUUGAAAACUCAGAAGUAUUUUUAAACAAUUAAAAAUAUGCACAAAAACAAUUAAUUCAUGAAAAAUAUCAAAAUUAAUCCAAAAAAUAAUUUUAAUUCAGAAAAUGAAAAAGGAAAAUAUUUAAAGAUUUUUUGUGAAAGUCCCAUAUUUUUUGGAUUAAAAAUGAAAUUAAUAUGAAUUAAUCAAAAUAAAUGGAUUAAAUGAAAAAUCAGAAAAUAUGAAAAAUCAGGGGCCAUCAGAUCUCCCUCAUUAAUUGAGGUGGCAGAUCUGAUGGCCACGCGCGUGCUAUCCAUGGUGGACUUGAGUUCAAGCGCCACACACGUGGUAAUCAAAAGCAAGGAUCCUGAUUAAAACGUGGAACCAAGCACACCACCUGAGCCCUAACUCCGGUCAUCUUCUCCGAUGAUCACUAUCGGUCUGGUUCAAGCUCAACUUCAUGAACAAUGAAAAGUGAAUACACUAAUUUGAAGGAAAAAUGCUCAGGAACACGACUCUGGCCUCAUUUUUCUCCAAUUCCAAGUAUAUAAACGCCUAUAAAAACCUGCAUGACCAAGAAAAGAACGAAUCUCGCGAACGCAAGAAGGGUAAGGCAGUGUAGAAAUCACAUCUAUUUUAGCAGGGCCAACAAAAAUUCCUUUUUCUGAAAUCAUGUGACCCAAUACAAUUCCCUGAUCAACCAUAAAGUGGCAUUUUUCAUAAUUUAAAACGAGAUCAGUUUCGAUGCAUCUUUCUAAAAUCAAGCUUAAACUGCUCAAGCAUGCAUCAAAAAGAGAACCAUAGACAGUGAAAUUGUCCAUAAAGACUUCCAUGCAAUUUUCAAUGAAAUCAGAAAAAAUGCUAAUCAUGCAUCGCUGGAAAGAACCAGGAGCAUUGCAAAGACCAAAAGGCAUCCUCCUGUAAGCAAAGUACCGAAAGACAAGUAAAAGUGGUCUUCUCUUGACUUUCCGGUGCAAUAUGAAUAUGAAAGUAACCUGAAAACCAUCAAGAAAACAAUAAUGUGAUUUACCAGCAAGCCGUUCAAGAAUUUGGUCAAUGAACGGUAAAGGAAAGUGAUCCUUUCUCGUAGCCUGUUCAAUCUCCUAUAAUCAAUACAAACUUCCAGUUGUUCUGAACUCUAGUGGGAACAAGUUCAUUCUUUUCAUUUUUACCACUGUGAGUCCUGAUUUCUUAGGUACAACCUGCACUGGGCUUACCCAUUUACUGUCAGAGAUAGGAUAAAUGACACCUGCUUGCAAGAGUUUGGUUACCUCCUUCUUCACAACAUCAAGAAUCAAAGGAUUAAGCCUCCUUUGGGGUUGCCCUACUGUUUUCGCUCCGUCCUCAAGUAAUAUCUUGUGCAUGCACAUCAACGGGCUAAUACCUGGGAGGUUGGCUAAUGUCCACCCGAUUGCCUUCUUGUGCUUCUUUAAAACCUGCAAAAGCUUGUCUUCCUAAUCGAAAUCAAGGUUAGAAGAAAUAAUAACAGGGAGUUUUUCAUUAGUCUCAAAUAAGCGUAUUUCAGGUUUUCAGGGAGUUGUUUCAGCUCUAAAGACGGGGGUUGCUCGAUCAGUGGAAUGCUUGGGGCAGCCGGGUUGUCAAGAGCAUCAACUGCAAAAACAGCUUCAUCGGAAACAACUUCACCUAUAGGAAAUGUAUCAGGCUGCAGGCAACAUCAAUCUCAGCACACACAAUACAAAGGUUACUGUCAGUAUAAUCAACACAUGAGUAAAUAUCAUCAAAACCAGAUAAAGAUGGAAAAUCAAGUGAAAAUAAAUCAGAACAAGUGUCCUCAACCAGCUCAGAUAUCAAUUCCAUAUGAAAAUCGGAAUGCUCUUCCAAGGGGUGUUUCAUGGCAUCGAAAAUGUUAAAUUUUGCGACAAUGUCACCAAAUUCCAUGGACAUGGUUCCAUCGUCAACAUCAAUUUUUGUCUUCGCCGUUUUCAUGAACGGAAGGGGUGUUUCAUGGCAUCGAAAAUGUUAAAUUUUGCGACAAUGUCACCAAAUUCCAUGGACAUGGUUCCAUCGUCAACAUCAAUUUUUGUCUUCGCCGUUUUCAUGAACGGUCUGCCUAAAAUGAUGCGAGCUCUGCUUGUCUUAGUCUCUCCUUCCAUGUCUAGAAUGUAAAAAUCUACAAGAAAAAUUAAAUCGUUAACUUGGACAAGGACAUCUUCCACUACGCCAGUCGGGCGUGCAUUGCUCCUGUUCGCCAGUUGGACGAUCAAACCUGUAUACUGCAAAGGACCAAGAUUAAGGUUAUUAUAAAUAGAAGUGGGCAUAACAUUAAUGCCCUCUCCGAAAUCAAGCAUGCAAUUCUCGAAUUUACUAUCCCCGAUGGUACAAGGGACAGUAAAAGUUCCCGGAUCCUUCUGCUUUUGUGUCAAGAGCUGAGUGAUGGCUGAAACAUUUUUCUCGCCUGUAACUUUUUCAGAUGAAGGCUUGGGCUGAAUAAAAGCAGAAAUAUUUCUUCCCAAGUUAACUCUCUCACUUCCUUUAAUCCUCCUGUAUUGAUACACAAUCCGUUCAGAACUUGCAUACUUAGGAACUUGCUUUAUUACAUCUAAAGAGCGGAUAUUUACGCAACUUUUCUAAAAACAUCCAAUAUCUCUCUUUCCUUGUCUCCCUCCUCAAUUCUUUUAUUUUUCAGAACUCUAUGUGGGAAGGGGACUGGUGGCACAUACUCUUUUUCUUUAAUUUUUUCAGAUGAAACAGGUUCAGAUGGAGUAGGUUCAAGUUCAGAUGUUACCUCAAUAAUUUUUUUAUUUUUUUCAGGGGCUGUUUCUGUAACCUUUCCAGAUCUCAACAAAAUCGCACUCACAUUAGCAUUAGAAUCCUUUGGAUUGACAACUAUUUGGGCUGGAAGCUGGUUCGACCCUUCUUGGGCUUGCAUGUUAUUUAUUUGAAUAGAAAGUUGUCCCAUUUGUGUGUUCAAGGUCUGAAUGCUAGAAUCGGUCCUUUGUUAGAAUUGGAGAUUGUUGGCGGCCAUUUGUUUGACAAGAUCUUCUAAGGAUGGUCCAAAAAGUGCAGGGGCAGCCACUUGAGGUGGGUUCUGUUGUGGGUUUCCAUAUCGAAGGUUGGGAUGGUUCCUCCAAUUGGGAUGGUAUUUGUUGGUAAACAGGUCAGGAGUAUUAUUGUACCUGUUUUGAUUGUAAAGGUUGGCUGCAUAAGCUUGAGGCAGCUCAGUAAUGGACUCGUCUCUCAGAAUAGGACAAGUAUCGGUCGGGUGCUCAUGAGAAGUACAAAUUACCACACACUGUUGUUGUUUAAGGUUUUGCUACUGCCAGCUGUUUGACUAAGGCAAUGAGCUCGUCAAUUCUGGUCUCUAAAGCUUUGUUGGAAGAAACCUGAAUUUGAUCACGCCUUUGCUUUGCACAGAAUUUUCUCUAGUAGUGAACUGUUGGGAAUUAAGGGACAUAUUUUUGAUAAGGCCUUUGGCAACAGUUUGGAGUCUUAUCAACAAGUGCUCCACCACUAGCAGCAUCAAGAAUGUUCCUAUCCAUCGGUAUCAAACCCUCAUAAAAGUACUGGAUGAGUAGUUGCUCGGUGAUCUGGUGCUGAGGGCAGCUGGAUAUCAAGUGUUUGAAUCUCUCCAAUACUCGGUCAAUGACUCAUUACUCUGUCUAAUACCACAAAUCUCCUUUCUUAUCGAGGCAGCUCUGGAGGCAGAAAAAUAUCUCUCUAAGAACACUUUUUUCAGGGCAUUCCAGCUUGCAAUUGAAUUUGGCUCGAGAUAAUAUAUCCAAUCCUUUGCUGCACCCUACAAUGAAAAAGGAAACGCUCGAAGUUUGAUGUGAUCUUCAGUGAUCCCUUCAGGCUUCAAUGGUGUAGAACACACCACCUGGAAUUCUUUCAAAUGUUUGUGCGGAUCCUCACCUACAAGACCACUAAACUUGGGCAACAAGUGUAUUAAACCCGAUUUUAAUUUAAAAGGAACAGCAACAACAUCAUAUUCAAUACACAAGCCAUUAUAAUUCACAUCAGGUGCAUCCAAUUGCCUUAAGUUUCUAUUGUCAUCCAUUUCAAAAACAAGUUCAGAAUCAGAAGCAAACAAGUUAUGCAAAUAGUCGGACUCAGAAUCAGACUCAAUUGUGGAUGAUGAACUAGCCUGGACUGCUCUACGUUGUGUGUGCAAAGUUCUCUCUACUUCAAGAUCAAAAGCAACAAGUUCAGAACAACGAGACCUAGUAGUCAAGACUAACGCACAGCAAUGCAGCAACAAUAUUCAAAAUACUGACAAUGUCCCUAAAAGUCAAAAACAAACACAAAGAAGGGAAUUGAUCAAAAUAAAUUCAGAAAAAUAAAGUGACACCGAAUUUAAUCUAAUGACUUUAAAAUAUAAUUUUGAGAAUUUUUUUGAUUUUUUUCGACUCUAUGAAAACAGUAAACAAUUCAUAAAAAAUGAUCAGAGAAUUUUUUUACACAAGACUGUCGGAACAGAUUUUCAAUCGACGCAAUUUUCCCAAAUACCGAUUUUUUCACUUUUUGGACUCUAAAACGCGAGUUGGGCAAAACCGUGAGGAAACUAGGACCUAGACGCGUAGACACUAAACAUAUGACUCUUAAAACGAUUAAUAUAAUCAAGAAUCUCCGGCAACGGCGCCAAUUUGAUUCGCUGUCGCACGCGGGUCAAAACGAGUGUUUUUCAAAAAUGUAGUAUGGCGACAAUUUUAACUCGGAUAUCAUUCUCACAAGGAUUCUUGAUUAUUAUUAUCCAAAGGUAAAUCGAAUUAAGGGGGGGGUUGUUUGGUUUGGUGUUCGAUUAAGAAAAAGUGAUUAUUAAAAGCAAUUCUUGAAAUAAGCUGUUAUGAAAUAAGUAAGUAUGAAAUAAUUCAAUCUACCGAUUCAGUUCCUACUAUCAUCGAUUAAUAUAAUUUUAAUACCCUAAGAGGAUUGUCUAUUCCUAUUUGGAUACAAACUCAAUGACAAGCGCGGUGAAGUUUGUGAGAUGUAUGAUCCUAUUGUCCGAAUUAAGCAAACGUGAUAAGUUUUCAUGGAUUAAGCAAACAUGAUUGAUCAGACACAAAAACGAAUUAAGCAAACGUGACGUGCCUAUGUUAGGAUCAUACCAUCAACCAAAUUGAAUCAAUAUAUUUCAUGCAAUCGAAUUAAGCAUACAAGAACACAAAAUAUCAUUGAAAAGAAUUAAACUAAAAUUAACAUUAUAAUAAUCUCAAGUUUUGGAACCUGAAUUACGGCGGAUCGAAUCAGAGGGAUUAGUUCUCCAUGGAAUUCCUACAAGCCUUCAAAUUUUCUUGAAUAGUGAUCCCGUGUACUCUGUUCGGCUGCUUAGGUUAUAGGAAAAGUAGAAUAAACCUAAUUUGGUCAAAACAUAACCCAGGCCCAAACUAAAUAACUCAACACAAAAAUAUAAAUCUAGUGCUGAAGGCUUCAACGGAUUUUCCAACCAUGCUACAGUCCGAAUUAGCUCCUGACUUCUUCCUGAAAGUCAUAACUCUUUCUCUUAGCUUUCCAACGACUGGUAGCACGCCUCGGUGCGAUACUCCUAGCUCCAAUUAUAAAUUUAUUCGUGCAGACUGCUAAUGCUGAAAAUAAACUGCAAAAAAAAAAAAUAAGUGUAAAAAUAAGAUAAAUUAUAAAAACACAUUAAAAGGGAAAAAUAACCAAACUAAAACAUGGAAAUACAUAAGUAUAAAUAUAGAAGAAUGUGCAUCAAAAUGCACCGAUCAUUGGGCUACUUGGGAAAUUUGGAUUUUCGACAUUUUAUUAUGGGUAGCCAUAGCAUCAAGCUUACUUGUCAUUUGCUUCAUCAGUUUGCUAGUAUGAGCAUUUCGAUUUGUGAAAUCCUUGUUUUGUUGAGUUCGAGCAUUCAUAUAGUUUUCCAUAAUGAUCUCUAUAUUUGACUUUCGAGGUGCUUGUGGAGAAGCACGUGUCAUUUUUUAUAACCAGGUGGAAUAACAGGUGCUAGCUUUGGCAAAAAUAAAGCAUUAUUAUUUUUAUAAGAAAAGUUUGGAUGAUUUCUUCAACCAGGAUUGUAAGUUUUGGAAUAUGGGUUUCCUUGAGCGUAAUUUACUUGGUCGGUAUGAAUAUCAUCCAAUAACUGACAACCAAUAUUAGUAUGCCCAGAGGUUCCACACAAUUCACAGUUUAGUGUUAUAGCAGCUAUGGUAGCUGCUGGUGUUAUGGCUAAGCUUUCGAUCUUUUGAGUAAGUCCAUCCACUUUAGCAUUGGCGCGGUCUAUGCCACUCACUUCGUACAUUUCGCCUUUUGGAGUUGGUUUUUCUACAACAACACAUUCAGCUCCCCAUUGGAAAUAAUUUUGAGCCAUGUUCUCGAUGAGUUCGUAGGCUUCAUCGUAAGGUUUGUCCAUCAAAGUACCGCUAGCUGCAGCGCUCAAAUUCAUUUUAGUGUUGUGCAAAAGACCAUUGUAGAAAGUAUGGAUAAUCAGUCAUUGCUCAAGUCCAUGGUGUGGACAAAGUCUCAUCAUGUCCUUGUAUCUUUCACAAGUGUCAAAAAGAUAUUCGUUGUCUUUUUUCUUAAUUCUGUUAAUUUAAGCUCUUAGCAUAGUCGUCUUACUUGAUGGGAAAUAUCGGGCUGAAAAGACUUUCUUCAACUCGUCCCAUGUGGUCACAGAUUUGAAGGUACAUACUGGAGCCAAGCUCUAGCUCUAUCUCUUAAGGAAAAAGGGAAAAGAUGUAGUCUAAUCGCUUAGGGACUAAUACCAUUUGCUUUCACUGUGUCUGCGUACUGCACAAACACUGACAAAUGUAAGUUUGGAUCGUAUGUAGGACUACCUGAAAAUUGGUUUUGUUGAACGGAUGUUAACAGCGAAGGUUUCAACCCGAAAUCGUUUUGAUUGAUGGCAGGAGCAUCAAUGAUGUUGUGUGGUUCCUCCUGUGAAGGAACAACAUAAUACUUAAGAGGACGGUUUUGUGGUCCUUCAACCACUACUGGUUGAGAUUCUGAUUUUUGUUUUGGAAAAGGAAGAUUGUACUUAAUUCAGAAAUUAUGAACUCAGCAUUGUAAAUUAAUAAAAUGCUUGACUUCGUCAACUGGUUGUUCUAGCUCUUCGCUUUUUGAGCGAGUGCUUGGCAUAUAAUUGACGGUUUAGAAGGGUAAAUAAAAUAAAAUUUGCCUUAGUCUAUACUGCGCAACAACAUAAUCACAAUAUUGAAUAAAUUAGUCCCUGACAACGGCGCCAAACACUUGAUCGCGACAGACAUGUCUGU
This 16638-nucleotide long non-coding RNA is filed under the name Lathyrus oleraceus (garden pea). Its description in RNAcentral is "Pisum sativum (pea) long non-coding RNA (PSAT_LNC037562)". The record is from RNAcentral. Lineage: Eukaryota; Viridiplantae; Streptophyta; Magnoliopsida; Fabales; Fabaceae.